RNAcentral lists this ribosomal RNA (497 nucleotides) under uncultured bacterium. RNAcentral's name for it is "partial 16S ribosomal RNA". It matches the Rfam family "Bacterial small subunit ribosomal RNA", at positions 28 to 507 of the family's 1533-position model. The record is from RNAcentral.
GAUGAACGCUGGCGGCGUGCCUAAUACAUGCAAGUCGAGCGAACAGACGAGGAGCUUGCUCCUCUGACGUUAGCGGCGGACGGGUGAGUAACACGUGGAUAACCUACCUAUAAGACUGGGAUAACUUCGGGAAACCGGAGCUAAUACCGGAUAAUAUAUUGAACCGCAUGGUUCAAUAGUGAAAGACGGUUUUGCUGUCACUUAUAGAUGGAUCCGCGCCGCAUUAGCUAGUUGGUAAGGUAACGGCUUACCAAGGCAACGAUGCGUAGCCGACCUGAGAGGGUGAUCGGCCACACUGGAACUGAGACACGGUCCAGACUCCUACGGGAGGCAGCAGUAGGGAAUCUUGCGCAAAGGGCGAAAGCCUGACGGAGCAACGCCGCGUGAGUGAUGAAGGUCUUCGGAUCGUAAAACUCUGUUAUUAGGGAAGAACAAAUGUGUAAGUAACUAUGCACGUCUUGACGGUACCUAAUCAGAAAGCCACGGCUAACUACGUG